UGCAUCCAUCAUGUAGAUAAGCAUAGCAUAUUGCAUCAUUAGUGCAUAGCAUUUUCAUAAUCAUGGGGCAUGGCGCUAAAAAAAAAAAAAAGAAAAACAACAAAACUCAUGCAUCAGCAUUGCAAACAUAUCCAUCAGCCCCAGGCCGUGGUGUCUAUCCGAGAAUGGGUUGUUGGAAAGAGUUUGGCAUCGCGCCGCUGGAUUGAUUUCAGAAUUGGGUUCCCCAGCAGGGUAGAGGGGUGUUUUCCCAACAAGUGACUCCUUAGUUGAGUGGGUAUCCCCAGCAUUG
This 289-nucleotide long non-coding RNA is filed under the name Lathyrus oleraceus (garden pea). Its description in RNAcentral is "Pisum sativum (pea) long non-coding RNA (PSAT_LNC021295)". Lineage: Eukaryota; Viridiplantae; Streptophyta; Magnoliopsida; Fabales; Fabaceae. The record is from RNAcentral.